GGUGAACGCUGGCGGUGGGCCUAACACAUGCAAGUCGAACGGCAGCACAGUAAGAGCUUGCUCUUACGGGUGGCGAGUGGCGGGCGGGUGAGGAAUACAUCGGAAUCUACUUUUUCGGGGGGGAUAACGUAGGGAAACUUACGCUAAUACCGCAUACGACCUACGGGUGAAAGCAGGGGAUCUUCGGACCUUGCGCGACUGAAUGAGCCGAUGUCGGAUUAGCUAGUUGGCGGGGUAAAGGCCCACCAAGGCGACGAUCCGUAGCUGGUCUGAGAGGAUGAUCGGCCACACUGGAACUGAGACACGGUCCAGACUCCUACGGGAGGCAGCAGUGGGGAAUAUUGGACAAUGGGCGCAAGCCUGAUCCAGCCAUACCGCGUGGGUGAAGAAGGCCUUCGGGUUGUAAAGCCCUUUUGUUGGGAAAGAAAAGCAGCAGGUUAAUACCCCGCUGUUUUGACGGUACCCAAAGAAUAAGCACCGGCUAACUUCGUG
RNAcentral lists this ribosomal RNA (492 nucleotides) under uncultured bacterium. RNAcentral's name for it is "partial 16S ribosomal RNA". It matches the Rfam family "Bacterial small subunit ribosomal RNA", at positions 28 to 507 of the family's 1533-position model. The record is from RNAcentral.